CAGAGUUCGUGCCCUCGCGGGUAGAUCUCCCACCCUGUGCUAUCGCUACCUUUGUUGCUUUGGCGGGCCGCCCUCGGCUACCGGCCCCCGCUGGUACGCGCCCGCCAGAGGACCCCAAACUCUGAAUGUUAGUGUCGUCCGAGUACUAUGCAAUAGUUA
RNAcentral lists this unclassified non-coding RNA (159 nucleotides) under uncultured Helotiales. RNAcentral describes it as "sequence contains ITS1". Lineage: Eukaryota; Fungi; Ascomycota; Leotiomycetes; Helotiales. The record is from RNAcentral.